This 253-nucleotide ribosomal RNA is filed under the name uncultured bacterium. RNAcentral describes it as "partial 16S ribosomal RNA". It matches the Rfam family "Bacterial small subunit ribosomal RNA", at positions 524 to 776 of the family's 1533-position model. The record is from RNAcentral.
UACGAAGGGGGCGAGCGUUGUUCGGAUUUACUGGGCGUAAAGGGCGCGCAGGCGGCUCAUUUUGUCAGGCGUGAAAGCCCCGGGCUUAACCUGGGAACUGCGUUUGAUACGGGUGGGCUAGAGUUCGGGAGAGGAGCGUGGAAUUCCCAGUGUAGAGGUGAAAUUCGUAGAUAUUGGGAAGAACACCGGUGGCGAAGGCGGCGCUCUGGACCGAGACUGACGCUGAGGCGCGAAAGCGUGGGGAGCAAACCGG